RNAcentral lists this ribosomal RNA (487 nucleotides) under uncultured bacterium. Its description in RNAcentral is "partial 16S ribosomal RNA". It matches the Rfam family "Bacterial small subunit ribosomal RNA", at positions 28 to 506 of the family's 1533-position model. The record is from RNAcentral.
GACGAACGCUGGCGGCGUGCUUAACACAUGCAAGUCGAACGGAAAGGCCCUGCUUUUGUGGGGUGCUCGAGUGGCGAACGGGUGAGUAACACGUGAGUAACCUGCUCUUGACUCUGGGAUGACUUCAGGAAACUGGGGCCAAUACCGGCUAGGACGACCUGCUGCAUGGUGGGGGUUGGAAAGUUACGGCGGGCGGGGAUGGACCCGCGGCUGAGCAGCUAGUUGGCGGGGUAGUGGCUUACCAAGGCGUCGACGGGUGGCCGGUCUGAGAGGGUGACCGGCCUCACGGGAGCUGAGAGACGGGCCGGACUCCUACGGUAGGAAGGAGUGGGGAAUAGGGCACAAAGGGCGGGAGGGUGACCGAGCCAAAGCGCGGGCGUGAAGUAGGCUGUCGGGGGGUAGAGCUGGCUUGUGGGGAAAGAAAGCCUACAGGUGAACCUCCGGGGAGGAGGACGGUACACAAAGAAUAAGAACCCGCUAACGUCGU